UGUUCUGCCUAAAAAAAAUCA
Caenorhabditis elegans is the source of this 21-nucleotide non-coding RNA. The record is from Ensembl. Lineage: Eukaryota; Metazoa; Nematoda; Chromadorea; Rhabditida; Rhabditidae.